Long non-coding RNA from Leopardus geoffroyi (Geoffroy's cat), 3220 nucleotides. RefSeq lists it as uncharacterized. The record is from RefSeq and is a predicted model, not a curated record. The transcript has 4 exons. NCBI's taxonomy places the organism in Eukaryota, Metazoa, Chordata, Mammalia, Carnivora, Felidae.
CCACGGCUGCCAGGGCCCCGCGGCCAGUCGUCCGCCGAGCCUGCACCCCUGCGGGUCGUUUCCGCGCCGAAGAACUGCGACCGAACCUGUGUUCUCAGGCUGGGUCUGGAAGAUCUCUUUGAGGCCUGAUGCAUUCCGCGUUUCAUCACGGGCCAAAAGUGACUUAGAGGGUAGGGUGGAGUCCCGAGACGAGGAGCAUCAGGCAAGUCAUUUUAAAUUUAUCGUUCCCCAAAAUAAGUUCGCUCGCCCUAUUAAAAACUGCAACAAAAAGCCACCUUUUUGGUUUCUGAUAAAUAGCAACAAAGUAGUUAAACAGCAAUCUUUAGGGAAGAGUUCUCUCCAGCUUUGCUGGAGAGAAAACCGGGUUAGCUUUUGCUGUGGUUAAAAAAAAAAAAAAAAAAAAAAAGCAGCCAUUUGAAACUGCAGUGGAGGGCUUUCAUAACAGAAACAUUAGCUUCAUUGUAGCUUGUUGCGGAAAACAGGGAGCUUUUUAAAGGUGGUUCAAAAGCAUCGGUUGAGGCUCAACAAUUUUCCCUUUUUCCCCAAAUGCUGCUUCUACUAGCACGUUGGCCAGAUCAUAGAAUCUCCCAUACUAAUGCUUCAUCUUUUUAUUAAAGCACAGGAAACCCUAGAGUAAAGGCUUUGUCCAGAAAGAUGGAUGUGAAACUGAUGGAAAGUGACAUCUGGGAAAUGAUCCCCAGUUCUGCGUUCAUAUCUAAUGGGAAGCCACAAAUGCAGAAUCAUCCUCCCAAGACUGGGAGUAUGCAGAUGAGGCUCUCCUAGCAACGUGAAAUCCCCCACACUUCAGCCCGUGCCCUCUUUCUCUCUCGCUCUCUCUUGGAUCACUCACUGUAAGGAAGCUAGUAGCUGCCAUGUCCGAAGGCCGCCCUGUGAAGAGGAACUGAGGCCUGCCAACAACCACAUAAGUUAGCUUGGGAUACUUCCCCCUUCGUCUCUGUUAAUCGAGCCUUCAGAUGAGACCUUCAACCCCAGCCAGCAGCUGCCUCAACGAGAGCCCUUGAGGAAGAAGCAUCCAGCUAAGCUGCCUCGAUUCCUGACCCACAGAAACUGUAAAAGCAUCUAUCCUGGUCCUGAGGCCUCAGCACACGCAGGGGCGGUGGGGUCCAACCUCGGUCCUAGAAGAAGAGGUGGAAAGAAGGGCUUUCGAGCCUGACAGCCGGAAGAGGUGAGUGAUUUCAGUGCAGGUCUAAAACUAGAAAGAAAGGCUUGUGGUCCUGCUGCUGAAGAGCAAGUCGUGGACAAUCCCCGAUAAGAAUCGCCUCCACACUGCUUCCAGGGCUACAAAGAACAUUCUGUCCACGUGAUGGUAUCUCUCUCUCAACAUCAUUUCCUCUCUGACUGGAGCAAAUUAUUGACUUUGAAAACACAAAACAAAGUUUUAUGAAGCGGGAGAGAUGUUACACUCCUGCAUCCCUAACUAGGGCAGGCGUCUACUUGUGGUUGCCCCCCCGCCCCCGCCUCAGCCAGUCACGUACAAGCUGGCGAUCGUAGAGCCCAUUUCUGUUUUCUCUCCAGAGACGCUCGGCUCUGAUUUUUCUCACGUGCAGUGGCCACAGCUGCUGUGUUGCCAUGCCGUCAUCCGGUUGCUAUGACUUGUGAGGUUGUGGAUGUGCCAGAACGUGAAUCUAUUAAUUUAACAGGAACUAGGCUCAGCACAUAUAUUCCUUGUUAGGUCAUUUGCUUUGCUACCUAAACCACAUCCAAUGUGUUCAGCAACGGGAACAUUUCCUAGAGCCUGGCUUUGCAAAAAUGCCAAGUGCCCUGGAUUUUUGAGUCUGCAGCAGUCAGUUUUACGGCAUUAAAUUACUGUGGAGGAGAACACAAAGGCAUUCUGGCCCCGGGAUGCCAACAGGUCAGCUUCGGAGAAAAAUCAAAGGAGGGGAAAUAAAGUCUCUGGUCUUCAUUCUUUGCCCACCGAGGUCCAUUCUGCGGGAGGUAUAUGAACUAACUUCCACAGGGAUCCCACCCUGAGCCCAGGUCUCUCACUGACAAGGUCCAAGCUCUCCAACCCCAGAACUAGGGGACGUGUGCCAUGAAAAGAGAAACCACUGGCCUUUUUUCCUUCACUCCUUCGAUGAACACUUCCUGGAUGUCUGCUGGUAGCUGCGCUAGGAAUGCGGAGAUGAAAGGGACAAAGUCUCUCCCUAGUGGGAGAGAAAGACAUGUAAAUUACAGUGUGACAUGAGAAGCUUCACACAGGGCACCGUGAGAUCCCAGAGAAGGAAGCAAGUAAGUCUGCCUGGGGACAGGAAUGAUGGGCUGCCACCAGUGUUCUUCCUUUUCUGAAAAAAAAGACUAUGUUAAAAAUGAUCAGAUGCAUUGUACUAAGUAAUAAGUGUUGUUUGUGUAGCUUUUGGUUUGGUUGUUUGUAAUAUAUAUGUACAUAUUUGUCUGGGUCACAGUGUAAAACAUAUUCCCUAUAUACAGGCAAAGAAGCGUGAAAGUUCUAGGUUUAGAGAGCAAUAAAUACCCCCGUACACAGGGGACUUAUGACGGGCUUGGCCUCAAAGUGUUGUCCGGUUGUGUAGUUGAAGGAACUAGCCGUGACUUAAUCCUUCCAAAUUCUCCUCCCUUAGUGAAUCAAAGCCAAGCCUGAAGGACCAGCUCCCAGACCCCUUCCCCCCCAGGACUGUUAAGCCAGCUCUAAGGCAGUGAGAGAGUACCCACCCCCUUUCCAUCGGGUCAGAUGGUAGGAAGGAGAAAGAGGAGAGAGAGGAAGGUCAGAAAGGCAUCAUGCUUUUCCUCCUCUUCAGGUCUUAGAGGAAAGCAGGAUAGGUUAUGUCAAAGUGACCCUGGUGAUCAAGCCUAGGUCAGCAGAGAGGCUCUGAGGCUCAGCAUUCCUGAGUCCCCAUUCCCACAUGGCAUGGAUGUCACAUCGUGAGCAAACAGCCUGCCGUGUGACUGCCCCGGUGGGGCAAGACUACCUGUGGCAAAGCUCGGGGGAGGAUCAUGGGUCUGCACCACUGAGAACAGAGGGAAAUGAGCAGCAAGUUGCAAAGGGGAGAAGCCAGUGCUGGGGGUGUUGCUGUAGACCACAAGGCCACCUACCAGAGCUGGUGGCAGCAGAGGCCUGGGGACAGGUAGAAACCAAGAGGACAAGGCAGCUUGGCAUGGUGGUCAGGAAUAAGGGUUCUGGACUGCACAGUCACUGCCUGGCUUCAAGUCCCACUUCUGCCACAUACUAGCUGCGUGACCUUGG